This 594-nucleotide ribosomal RNA is filed under the name uncultured Gaiella sp. RNAcentral describes it as "bacterial SSU rRNA". It matches the Rfam family "Bacterial small subunit ribosomal RNA", at positions 329 to 915 of the family's 1533-position model. The record is from RNAcentral. Lineage: Bacteria; Bacillati; Actinomycetota; Thermoleophilia; Gaiellales; Gaiellaceae.
CAGGUCACUCCUACGGGAGGCAGCAGUGGGGAAUCUUGCGCAAUGGGCGAAAGCCUGACGCAGCGACGCCGCGUGCGGGAAGAAGGCCUUAGGGUUGUAAACCGCUUUCAGGAGGGACGAAGCCACUCGGGUUAACAGCCCAGAGGGUGACGGUACCUCCAGAAGAAGCCCCGGCUAACUACGUGCCAGCAGCCGCGGUAAUACGUAGGGGGCAAGCGUUGUCCGGAUUCAUUGGGCGUAAAGAGCGUGUAGGCGGCCAGGUAGGUCGGUUGUGAAAACUGGAGGCUCAACCUUCAGAGGUCGACCGAAACCAUCUGGCUAGAGUCCGGGAGAGGAGAGUGGAAUUCCUGGUGUAGCGGUGAAAUGCGCAGAUAUCAGGAAGAACACCCGUGGCGAAAGCGGCUCUCUGGAACGGUACUGACGCUGAGACGCGAAAGCGUGGGGAGCGAACAGGAUUAGAUACCCUGGUAGUCCACGCCGUAAACGAUGGGCGCUAGGUGUGGGAGGUGUCGACUCCUUCCGUGCCGCAGCUAACGCAUUAAGCGCCCCGCCUGGGGAGUACGGCCGCAAGGCUAAAACUCAAAGGAAUUGACG